Long non-coding RNA from Clupea harengus (Atlantic herring), 364 nucleotides. The record is from Ensembl. Lineage: Eukaryota; Metazoa; Chordata; Actinopteri; Clupeiformes; Clupeidae.
AAGGACAGAGAGAGAGGGGAAAAGGGAGACAGAGAGAGAGAGAGAGAGAGGUAAAGGGAGAGAGAGAGAGAGAGAGAGAGAGAGAGAGGUAAAGGGAGAGAGAGAGAGGGGGGGGGACAGAGAGAGAGGGGUAAAGAGAGAGAGAGAGAGAGGUAAAGGGAGAGAGAGAGAGAGAGGGACAGAGAGAGAGAGAGGUAAAGGGAGAGGGAGAGAGUGAAUAAGAGAGAGAGCGAGAGAGAGAGAGAGGGAGAGGUAAAGGGAGAGAGAGCAAGUGAAUAAGAGAGAGAGCGAGAGACAGAGAGAGAGCGGUAAAGGGAGAGGGAGAGCGAGUGAAUAAGAGAGAGAGCGAGAGAGAGAGAGAGAG